This 1395-nucleotide ribosomal RNA is filed under the name Brassica oleracea var. capitata (cabbage). RNAcentral describes it as "SSU rRNA". It matches the Rfam family "Eukaryotic small subunit ribosomal RNA", at positions 483 to 1831 of the family's 1831-position model. The record is from RNAcentral. Lineage: Eukaryota; Viridiplantae; Streptophyta; Magnoliopsida; Brassicales; Brassicaceae.
AUACUGGGCUGUUCGAGUCUGGUAAUUGGAAUAAAUACAAUCUAAAUCCCUUAGCGAGGAUCCAUUAGAGGUCAAGUCUGGUGCAAUCAGCCGCGGUAAUUCUAGCUCCAAUACCGUAUAUUUAAGUUGUUGCAGUUAAAAAGGUCAUAGUUGAACCUUGGGAUGGGUCGCCCGGUCCGCCUUCGGUGAGCACCGGUCGCCUUGUCCCUUCUCUCGAAAAAGCUCGUAGUUGAACCUUGGGAUGGGUCGCCCGGUCCGCCUUCGGCGAGCACCGGUCGGCUUGUCUCUUCUGUCGGCGAUACGCUCAUGGCCUUAACUGGCCGGGUCGUGCCUCCGCCGCCGUUACUUUGAAGAAAUUAGAGUGCUCAAAGCAAGCAUACGCUCUGUAUACAUUAGCAUGGGAUAAUAUCAUAGGAUUUCGAUCCUAUUGUGUUGGCCUUCGGGAUCGGAGUAAUGAUUAAUAGGGACAGCCGGGGGCAUUCGUAUUUCAUAGUUAGAGGUGAAAUUCUUGGAUUUAUGAAAGAUGAACAACUGCGAAAGCAUUUAUCAAAGAUGUUUUCAUUAAUCAAGAAUGAAAUUUGAGGGCUCGAAGACGAUCAGAUACCGUCCUAGUCUCAACCAUAAACGAUGCCGACUAGGGAUCAGCGGAUGUUGCUUUUAGAACGCCGUUGGCACCUUAUGAGAAAUCAAAGUUUUUGGGUUACAGGGGGAGUAUUGUCGCAAGGCUGUAACUUAAAAGAAUUGACGAAAGGGAACCACCAGGAAUGGAGCCUGCGGCUUAAUUUGACUCAACAUGGAGAAACUUACCAUGUCGAGACAUAGUAAUGAUUGACAAACUGAGAUAUCUUUCUUGAUUCUAUGGGUGGUGGUGCAUGGCCGUUCUUAGUUGGUGGAGCGAUUUGUCUGGUUAAUUCCGUUAACGAACUGGACCUCAACCUGCUAACUAGCUACAUGGAGGCAUCCCUUCACGGCCGGGUUUCUUAGAGGGACUAUUGUCGUUUAGGCCAAGAAAGUUUGAGGCAAUAACAUGUCUGUGAUGCCCUUAGAUGUUCUGGGCCGCUUGCUCGCUACACUGAUGUAUUCAAUGAGUUCAUACCUUUGCCGACAGGCCCGAGUAAUCUUUGAAAUUUCAUCUUGAUGGAGAUAGAUCAUUGCAAUUGUUUGUCUUCAACGAGGAAUUCCAAGUAAGCGCUAGUCAUCAGCUUGCGUUGACUAUGUCCCUUCCCUUUGUACACACCGCCUGUUGCUCCUACCGAUUGAAUGAUCCGGUGAAGUGUUCGGAACGCGGCGACAUGGAUGGUUCACCGUCCGAGACGUCGCGAGAAGUCCACUAAACCUUAUCAUUCAGAGGAAGGAGAAGUCGUAACAAGGUUUCUGUAUGCAGAAGGAUCAUUG